AUACCUUCUCGGCCUUUUGGCUAAGAUCAAGUGUAGUAUCAGUUCUUCUCAGCCUGAUCUCUGAGAUUAGGAACUAUUUGUUUCUAAACAGUUGAUUAGGAUGAUUUCUUGAGCCAAACUUCACUGUGAUCUACAUACAAAAGGGCUUGCUCUUUUGUAGAUUUACAACUCAAAUAAAUUUCGAUUUGUUUGGGCUAGUUGAAGUGGUGAUCUUAGUAUUGCAGUAUCUCUAGGUAUCGCCGGUGAAUU
RNAcentral lists this small nuclear RNA (249 nucleotides) under Reticulomyxa filosa. RNAcentral describes it as "U2 spliceosomal RNA". It matches the Rfam family "U2 spliceosomal RNA". From Rfam's summary of the family: U2 is a small nuclear RNA (snRNA) component of the spliceosome (involved in pre-mRNA splicing). The record is from Rfam by way of RNAcentral. Lineage: Eukaryota; Foraminifera; Reticulomyxidae.